UAGUCCACGCCGUAAACGAUGAUAACUAGCUGUCCGAACCCACAGGGUUUGGGUGGCGCAGCUAACGCAUUAAGUUAUCCGCCUGGGGAGUACGGUCGCAAGAUUAAAACUCAAAGGAAUUGACGGGGGCCUGCACAAGCGGUGGAGCAUGUGGUUUAAUUCGACGCAACGCGCAGAACCUUACCAGCUUUUGACAUCCUGGUCGCGGAUUUGGGAGACCAUUUCCUUCAGUUCGGCUGGACCAGUGACAGGUGCUGCAUGGCUGUCGUCAGCUCGUGUCGUGAGGUGUUGGGUUAAGUCCCGCAACGAGCGCAACCCCUAUUUCCAGUUGCCAGCACAUAAUGGUGGGACUCGUGGAGAGACUGCCGGCGCAAGCCGCGAGGGAAGGGUGGGGGAUGGACGUCAAAUC
This 409-nucleotide ribosomal RNA is filed under the name uncultured bacterium. RNAcentral describes it as "bacterial SSU rRNA". It matches the Rfam family "Bacterial small subunit ribosomal RNA", at positions 791 to 1191 of the family's 1533-position model. The record is from RNAcentral.